CGGGCUUAAUAAGUGAUACAGUAGUAACUACUUAGACCACUUGCCACCUCAGAGGUCUACUUCAAGUAGAUACACAACAUUUAAAAUAGCUUUGAAUAAUUUAUGCAAAAUUUGGUAGAAAAGAUCUUGCCCUUGACUGGAACAAUAGGGGAUUGUUAUAUUCCUUUCAAGCAGUUUGUAAACCAAAGCUGUUACACCACAAC
This 203-nucleotide long non-coding RNA is filed under the name Mytilus galloprovincialis (Mediterranean mussel). Lineage: Eukaryota; Metazoa; Mollusca; Bivalvia; Mytilida; Mytilidae. The record is from RNAcentral.